CUGGAAUCUCAGAAUGUCAUCUGAGAAUGGCUGAUAGGACCUAGGAAUCUUGGAAAGGAGGGCCAGAAUUUCAGAAGAGACUCUUGGAAUCGGGUCAUUGGGAGAACGUGUCUAUCCCCCAGCGCAGGAGUAUGGCUGCAUUUUGAGCCCCAGAGGACUAAGAGCUGAAAGGGCAAUGGUGGCAAGGGGACUGGAGGGUGCAGGAAUCCCUCAAGGAAAUGGAUUGACCCCGAAUAAUGGUGGCACUUUAUGGUGCCACAUUCAUCUCCUUGAUAAGCCAAAAACCUGGGAAUCACUCUUCAUACUUCUACAAUCCUCAAUGUUCACCAGAGCAACCACCAUUUAGGAAAGAUAUCCUGUGGGCUAGGCACCAUGCCAGGCACCGUACAGGCAGUGCAAUGGUCCUAACUUCUUGGAGCCUACAGUCAGCUGGGUACACACAACCUAAGCAAUGAUCACACUAACAAUAUAAUACAACCUGCAAUGCCAAAAUAAAAGAAUAGGGUGCCCUAAGCCUAGGGACUGGGUGAUCUGAUCUCAUUCAAGGGGUCAGGGGAGUUUUUCAGGGCAACUGUCAGUUUUUCUUCCAUCUGCGGGACAAAUACAGGGAAACAGGAGAAGGUAGGAGGUGAUGGGAAGGGGAGAAUGCUGCAGCAGUGAAAGUAGCAAAGGCCAUGAGUAGAGAUGAAGCUGUCUGUGCUCAACCCCCGGGACUUGGACCAGUGUGGCUGGAGGAUGGACAGCAAGGGAGGGAGGCUUUGAUUUGAGGCCAGAGGGCAGAUCAGAUCAUGAGAGUCUUGGGGCUGAUGAAGGGUCAAGAAAGACCCUGGGGCUUUAUCCUAAGAGCAGUAAGAAGCUGCUAAACAGAUGAUCAGGUCUCCUUUGCAUUGAAAUGAUAUCACACCAGGAUGCAAAGGACAAACCAGGCUGGAGGAGGUGAGGAGAUGAGGAGGCUGUGGCAGGAGAUGUGGAAGGAGAUUAUGGUUUGUACUAAGGGGAUGGUGGGAGAGGUAGAAAGAAGUGGGGGGACUGGACACCAUUUGAGGAGAUGAAGUCAGUAGGAUUGUGUUUCCCUGAUUCUCUUAUGGCUGAGUAUGAGCCUGUGACUACAUCCUGCCCGAUGGGACAUGUGCAGAAGUGAUGUGAACAACAUUCAGUUUGUACCCCCAAAGGGAGAGGCAUGACCUCCUCUUCCCCUUUGCCCUUUCCCACUGGCUGCAACGGGAACAUGAUGGUCAGGAUGAGAACACCAUGUUGGACAAGGAGAAGAAGGCUGCUUACGAAGGAGAGCAAAUGCACCCGAUUGAGGAGGAACCCUGGGACCCCGCUGGUUAUGGAGCUGCCACACCAUCCUGAAUGGUCCAUACAAAUUCUUAUGAGAGAAAGAGGGAAACUAGAGAAACUUCUAUGCUCUCUGGACGCUGGGGCACCACUAAUUUAUGUCUCUCUGUCCGAGGUGCUGAAUCAGAUCUCCAUGGAGCGGCAAUUAGACACUAAGCAAAUGGACAAAGGAGGCAGGUCCGCCCUCAGGUUUCCGGCUUGCACUGCUGGGUGGAGCCCCGAGGGAGAAACAGGCUUCACUGCGGAGUGAGAUGGGGUGUACAGAUGAUGAACCUGACUCAGGCAAACUGAGCUGGAGGCAUCCUAAGAGGAGACAAGAAGAGGUGCAAAGGGGAUAGGUAGGAAGCUUCAAGGGCAGGUGGCAGCUGGAAGAAAGGGAAACCAGAGGAGGACUCGGCAGUUCCCAACCCUGACUGCACAAGAGUGGGUGACAAAUUCUGAUAGCCAGGCCCAUCUCUGAGAUUCUGACUUAGUCGGUCUGGGACAGGGCGGGCAAGCAGCAUUUGCUAAAAGCUCCCUCACGGUGGUCCUCACGGCGCAGGGUGCGGUGGAGGAAGCACAGGUGUGGCCAUAACUGAAACCACAGGCAUGGAUGAGACACCUCGGGAAGGAGUAUGGGGUGGGAAGGGAACCAACCUGCAGUCCCUCCCACACUCCUAGGCCCGUGGAGAGGAGAGCAGGUGACCCAGAGCAGCCACCCAGCUACCUCCAUCACGGUCCUUGCAAGAACGCAGUAAGGAGAGCCAAACAGGAAACACGAUGGUCCUCUCAGGAGUGACAGGGCUUUAGAGAAACAAAAUAGGUUCCUUUCCCUUUUUCUCUCCCUCCAUCCCUCUCUACUUCCCGGGGCUCCCCGCAUGUCACUCGUCACUCAUGAGUUCUUCAGGAAGCUGCUCUGGCCUUCACCGGCCCUGGAAGCUGAUCUGGCCGGAGCCUACUACUGAGGGGCUCCGCCUUCCCUCCUGGGAACCAGCCCCCCCUGCCCAGGACAACUGCAGCCGCUGUCGCCACAGCCCCCUGUCCUCUCUGCAAGUGCCAGGCCAGCCUGUACUGUGAGCACGUGCAUACUCACGAGUGAACCCUCGGGACAUCUAUCACUUCUUCUCUCUCUAGCCAUUCUGUUUUUCUGGACUUCAAAAUGCUCAUCUGUAAAACAGAAUAGCUAUAGGGUACUCAAUCCCACAAAGUGGUAAGGUUUUUUUGGUGGGGACCCAAGCGGGUGCUAAUGAAACUGUAUGAAUUUAUGAAACACCUUUAAUCUUGUUCAGGUCAAGUACCAGGAAGAGCUAGGGAGGGAGGCAGAGACAAAAAAGACCCAUAAAUCCCUGCUGCUCUUGGGGGCACUUACAGAAGAACGUGCCUGACAUAAGUGAAAGCCUAAAAGGAAAAAACCUUAUAGCAUUUGGUUCAGGAGGAGCCCAGGGUUUAUGAGAGCAGAGGUCAACGGCAGGGUACAGGUAGGCUCCCCCGAAGAGGGCCCUACCCUCAGAAUUUCCUUGAGAGCAAUCAUUUUCUUCCCUCCACUGGGUCCCCAAAGCUCAUGACCAAUGUCUGUUUUGGGAGGUCGAAGUGGAAGGUGACGAGGGUCAGCUGAGCCGGUUUGAACGUCCACACUGCCACACUCUGAUUAUGUGACACUGGGAGAGUUAGGAAGCACUUAUCCCUUCUGAGCCUGUGUCUUCAUCACUUAGCAUAAAAUCUAGAACACAGCAGUACUUAAUAAUAACUAUUAGCUACUUUUGCUGUUAAGAUUUUACCAGAUUCAGAUGGUUGUGAGCUAUUAUGGAAAAUGCCUGACCCGGGGAAUGCACUCAUUGCGGACUGGUUCCCUUUCUUCCUUCAAGUUUAUAAUCAAAUAAAGCUUUAGUGUGUUGCAA
Long non-coding RNA from Canis lupus familiaris (dog), 3218 nucleotides. RefSeq lists it as uncharacterized. The transcript is spliced from 3 exons. Lineage: Eukaryota; Metazoa; Chordata; Mammalia; Carnivora; Canidae. The record is from RefSeq and is a predicted model, not a curated record.